This 710-nucleotide unclassified non-coding RNA is filed under the name Duhaldea eupatorioides. RNAcentral describes it as "sequence contains ITS1, 5.8S rRNA gene, ITS2". The stretch from base 279 to 434 matches the Rfam family "5.8S ribosomal RNA". The record is from RNAcentral. Lineage: Eukaryota; Viridiplantae; Streptophyta; Magnoliopsida; Asterales; Asteraceae.
UGCGGAAGGAUCAUUGUCGAAGCCUAUAAAGCAAAAUGACUCGUGAACGUGUAACAAAAGCUGAGUGUUGUAAGGAUCGGGCUUUUGUUUGUGACCUAUGGCACCCUGUCGAUUUGCCACUAUGGUUGUCUCUUUGGAGAUUCCUUGAUGUCAAAUGGACGCAACAACAAACCCCGGCACGGCAUGUGCCAAGGAAAACUAAACUUUAAGAACGCCUUAUGCCAUGUUGCCCCGUUUGUGGUGUGUGCAUGGGAUGUGGCUUCUUUAUAACCACAAACGACUCUCGGCAACGGAUAUCUUGGCUCACGCAUCGAUGAAGAACGUAGCAAAAUGCGAUACUUGGUGUGAAUUGCAGAAUCCCGUGAACCAUCGAGUUUUUGAACGCAAGUUGCGCCCGAAGCCAUUCGGCCGAGGGCACAUCUGCCUGGGCGUCACGCAUCGCAUCGCUCCUCACCAUGCCUCUUCAGAGGGGUGUGUGUGAUAGGGGCGGAGACUGGUCUCCCGUGCCUAUGGUGUGGUUGGCCAAAAUAUGAGUUUCCUUUUGGUGGGCACACGGCAAGUGGUGGUUGACAAAACCUUCGUCUCGUGUUGUGUGUCCUGAAAUAAAUGGGAAGACUUCGUAAAGUACCCUAACGUGUCGUCUUGUGCCGAUACUUCGACCGCGACCCCAGGUCAGGUGGGACUACCCGCUGAGUUUAAGCAUAUCAAUA